AUUAAGCAUAUCAAUAAGCGGAGGAAAAGAAACCAACCGGGAUUGCCUCAGUAACGGCGAGUGAAGCGGCAAGAGCUCAAAUUUGAAAGCUGGCUCCUUCGGAGUCCGCAUUGUAAUUUGCAGAGGAUGCUUUGGGUGCGGCCCCCGUCUAAGUGCCCUGGAACGGGCCGUCAGAGAGGGUGAGAAUCCCGUCUUGGGCGGGGUGUCCGUGCCCGUGUAAAGCUCCUUCGACGAGUCGAGUUGUUUGGGAAUGCAGCUCUAAAUGGGUGGUAAAUUUCAUCUAAAGCUAAAUACUGGCCGGAGACCGAUAGCGCACAAGUAGAGUGAUCGAAAGAUGAAAAGCACUUUGAAAAGAGAGUUAAACAGCACGUGAAAUUGUUGAAAGGGAAGCGCUUGCGACCAGACUCGCCCGCGGGGUUCAGCCGGCAUUCGUGCCGGUGUACUUCCCCGUGGGCGGGCCAGCGUCGGUUUGGGCGGCCGGUCAAAGGCCCCUGGAAUGUAGUGCCCUCCGGGGCACCUUAUAGCCAGGGGUGCAAUGCGGCCAGCCUGGACCGAGGAACGCGCUUCGGCACGGACGCUGGCAUAAUGGUCGUAAACGACCCGUCUUGAAACACGGACCCAA
Molecule: ribosomal RNA, 622 nt
Filed under: Aspergillus niger
Lineage: Eukaryota; Fungi; Ascomycota; Eurotiomycetes; Eurotiales; Aspergillaceae
Description: partial large subunit ribosomal RNA
Rfam family: Eukaryotic large subunit ribosomal RNA
Source: RNAcentral